Molecule: transfer RNA, 72 nt
Filed under: Camelus bactrianus (Bactrian camel)
Lineage: Eukaryota; Metazoa; Chordata; Mammalia; Artiodactyla; Camelidae
Also listed under: 1 other name
Rfam family: tRNA
About the family: Transfer RNA (tRNA) molecules are approximately 80 nucleotides in length. Their secondary structure includes four short double-helical elements and three loops (D, anti-codon, and T loops).
Source: Rfam by way of RNAcentral
GGGGUUAUGGCUCAGUGGUAGAGCAUGUGCUUGGUAUGCACGAGGAACUGGGUUCAAUCCCCAGCACCUCCG